GGGCUACACACGUGCUACAAUGGGUAGUACAGGGGGUUGCCAAGCCGUAAGGUGGAGCUAAUCCCUUAAAGCUACUCUCAGUUCGGAUUGUAGGCUGAAACUCGCCUACAUGAAGCUGGAGUUACUAGUAAUCGCAGAU
Molecule: ribosomal RNA, 139 nt
Filed under: Clostridioides difficile
Lineage: Bacteria; Bacillati; Bacillota; Clostridia; Peptostreptococcales; Peptostreptococcaceae
Description: partial 16S ribosomal RNA
Rfam family: Bacterial small subunit ribosomal RNA
Source: RNAcentral